CUACGGGUGGCAGCAGUGGGGAAUAUUGGACAAUGGGCGAAAGCCUGAUCCAGCCAUGCCGCGUGUGUGAAGAAGGCCUUCGGGUUGUAAAGCACUUUCAGUGGGGAAGAAAGCCUUGGGGCUAAUACCCUCGAGGAAGGACAUCACCCACAGAAGAAGCACCGGCUAACUCCGUGCCAGCGGCCGCGGUAAUACGGAGGGUGCGAGCGUUAAUCGGAAUUACUGGGCGUAAAGCGCGCGUAGGCGGUCUGAUAAGCCGGUUGUGAAAGCCCCGGGCUCAACCUGGGAACGGCAUCCGGAACUGUCAGGCUAGAGUGCAGGAGAGGAAGGUAGAAUUCCCGGUGUAGCGGUGAAAUGCGUAGAGAUCGGGAGGAAUACCAGUGGCGAAGGCGGCCUUCUGGACUGACACUGACGCUGAGGUGCGAAAGCGUGGGUAGCAAACAGGAUUAGAUACCCCUGUAGUC
This 464-nucleotide ribosomal RNA is filed under the name Vreelandella stevensii. RNAcentral describes it as "partial 16S ribosomal RNA". It matches the Rfam family "Bacterial small subunit ribosomal RNA", at positions 339 to 795 of the family's 1533-position model. The record is from RNAcentral. Lineage: Bacteria; Pseudomonadati; Pseudomonadota; Gammaproteobacteria; Oceanospirillales; Halomonadaceae.